RNAcentral lists this ribosomal RNA (200 nucleotides) under uncultured bacterium. RNAcentral describes it as "partial 16S ribosomal RNA". It matches the Rfam family "Bacterial small subunit ribosomal RNA", at positions 30 to 222 of the family's 1533-position model. The record is from RNAcentral.
AUUGAACGCUGGCGGCAGGCCUAACACAUGCAAGUCGAGCGGUAGCACAGAGAGCUUGCUCUCGGGUGACGAGCGGCGGACGGGUGAGUAAUGUCUGGGAAACUGCCUUGAGUGGAGGGGGAUAACUACUGGAAACGGUAGCUAAUACCGCAUAACGUCGCAAGGACCAAAGAGGGGGGACCUUCGGGCCUCUUGCCAUC